This 374-nucleotide unclassified non-coding RNA is filed under the name uncultured bacterium. Its description in RNAcentral is "contains 16S-23S intergenic spacer region". The record is from RNAcentral.
UCCGGUUUGUCACCGGCAGUCUGGUGUGAGUCCCCAACUUAAUGAUGGCAACACACCACGGGGGUUGCGCUCGUUGCGGGACUUAACCCAACACCUCACGGCACGAGCUGACGACAGCCGUGCAUCACCUCGCAUGGUGCCCCGAAGGGAGACCGGCUUUCACCGGCUGUCACCACACGUUCAAGCCCAGGUAAGGUUCUGCGCGUUGCUUCGAAUUAAACCACAUGCUCCACCGCUUGUGCAGGCCCCCGUCAAUUUCUUUGAGUUUUAACCUUGCGGCCGUACUCCCCAGGCGGUCAACUUCACGCGUUAGCUUCGUUACCAAGGAAUUGCUUCCCCGACAACCAGUUGACAUAGUUUAGGGCGUGGACUAC